AGUGAACGCUGGCGGUAGGCCUUACACAUGCAAGUCGAACGGCAGCACAGUAAGAGCUUGCUCUUACGGGUGGCGAGUGGCGGACGGGUGAGGAAUACAUCGGAAUCUACUUUUUCGUGGGGGAUAACGUAGGGAAACUUAUGCUAAUACCGCAUACGACCUACGGGUGAAAGCAGGGGAUCUUCGGACCUUGCGCGAUUGACUGAGCCGAUGUCGGAUUAGCUAGUUGGCGGGGUAAAGGCCCACCAAGGCGACGAUCCGUAGCUGGUCUGAGAGGAUGAUCAGCCACACUGGAACUGAGACACGGUCCAGACUCCUACGGGAGGCAGCAGUGGGGAAUAUUGGACAAUGGGCGCAAGCCUGAUCCAGCCAUACCGCGUGGGUGAAGAAGGCCUUCGGGUUGUAAAGCCCUUUUGUUGGGAAAGAAAAGCAGCAGGUUAAUACCCCGCUGUUCUGACGGUACCCAAAGAAUAAGCACCGGCUAACUUCGUG
This 492-nucleotide ribosomal RNA is filed under the name uncultured bacterium. Its description in RNAcentral is "partial 16S ribosomal RNA". It matches the Rfam family "Bacterial small subunit ribosomal RNA", at positions 29 to 507 of the family's 1533-position model. The record is from RNAcentral.